UAGGAUACUGCUGAAGCCUGUGGAAUCUCAGCCAUGCCAACAUUUCACUUCUACAAGAAUGGGGAAAAGCUGGAUGAAGUAGUUGGAGCAGAUGAGGGAAAAAUCCAAGAAUUAGUAGCAAAGCUUAAAUAAAUUUGAGAAAUCAUGUUAGUUAAAAAAAUUUCUUUAUGAUGUAUAAUUGUUGUAAUAGAUAUUUAUCUACCUUUUCUGUAAAUUCGGAGUUUGACUGUGAUGAAUACCAGAAAUUUUGCCAUGUGAAGGGCAUUUUAUUUCCAUUGUUUAGUGUUUAUAAUUAGGUAGGAUACAUUUGAAUUUAUUUUUAGUUUCGAUUUGAAUAACAUUAUGCAGUUGUUUCAUACUAUGGAAAAUUUUACUAGCUAGGAGUAUACAUUAAAUACAAAGUACUUUGAAGACAUCAAAAAAGGGUAUUUUAGAAAAAAAGUAAUUUAUACAUUGUAUACAUGAUAGCAUUCUUAUCAAGGUAUUGAUAAUCAUGAAUUUCUAUUUUACAGUAUUGCACAUUGUGGCCUUUUUUUUGCACCAUUAUGCAAUAAAAUCUUUACAAUCAAA
Long non-coding RNA from Saccostrea cuccullata (small rock oyster), 570 nucleotides. RefSeq lists it as uncharacterized. NCBI's taxonomy places the organism in Eukaryota, Metazoa, Mollusca, Bivalvia, Ostreida, Ostreidae. The record is from RefSeq and is a predicted model, not a curated record. The transcript is spliced from 2 exons.